UCCUGGGUCGAACGAUGAUCCGGUGCUUGCACCGGGGAUUAGUGGCGAACGGGUGAGUAACACGUGAGUAACCUGCCCUUGACUCUGGGAUAAGCCUGGGAAACCGGGUCUAAUACCGGAUACGACCCGUCACCGCAUGGUGGUGGGUGGAAAGAUUUUUUGGUUUUGGAUGGACUCGCGGCCUAUCAGCUUGUUGGUGAGGUAAUGGCUCACCAAGGCGACGACGGGUAGCCGGCCUGAGAGGGUGACCGGCCACACUGGGACUGAGACACGGCCCAGACUCCUACGGGAGGCAGCAGUGGGGAAUAUUGCACAAUGGGCGAAAGCCUGAUGCAGCGACGCCGCGUGAGGGAUGACGGCCUUCGGGUUGUAAACCUCUUUCAGCAGGGAAGAAGCGAAAGUGACGGUACCUGCAGAAGAAGCGCCGGCUAACUACGUGCCAGCAGCCGCGGUAAUACGUAGGGCGCAAGCGUUGUCCGGAAUUAUUGGGCGUAAAGAGCUCGUAGGCGGUUUGUCGCGUCUGCUGUGAAAGCCCGGGGCUCAACCCCGGGUCUGCAGUGGGUACGGGCAGACUAGAGUGCAGUAGGGGAGACUGGAAUUCCUGGUGUAGCGGUGAAAUGCGCAGAUAUCGGAGGAACACCGAUGGCGAAGGCAGGUCUCUGGGGCUGUAACUGACGCUGAGGAGCGAAAGCAUGGGGAGCGAACAGGAUUAGAUACCCUGGGUAGUCCAUGCGCGUAAACGUUUGGGCACUAGGUGUGGGGGGAC
RNAcentral lists this ribosomal RNA (766 nucleotides) under Crystallibacter crystallopoietes. Its description in RNAcentral is "bacterial SSU rRNA". It matches the Rfam family "Bacterial small subunit ribosomal RNA", at positions 53 to 831 of the family's 1533-position model. The record is from RNAcentral. Lineage: Bacteria; Bacillati; Actinomycetota; Actinomycetes; Micrococcales; Micrococcaceae.